This 90-nucleotide unclassified non-coding RNA is filed under the name Pseudomonas granadensis. The record is from RNAcentral. Lineage: Bacteria; Pseudomonadati; Pseudomonadota; Gammaproteobacteria; Pseudomonadales; Pseudomonadaceae.
UGUAGGAGUGAGCCUGCUCGCGAUAGCGGUGUGUCAGUCGCUAUGUGUGUUGAUUGAUACACCGCUAUCGCGAGCAGGCUCACUCCCACA